RNAcentral lists this ribosomal RNA (253 nucleotides) under uncultured bacterium. RNAcentral's name for it is "partial 16S ribosomal RNA". It matches the Rfam family "Bacterial small subunit ribosomal RNA", at positions 524 to 776 of the family's 1533-position model. The record is from RNAcentral.
GACGGAGGGUGCUAGCGUUGUUCGGAAUUACUGGGCGUAAAGGGCGCGUAGGCGGCCUGGUCAGUCGGAUGUGAAAGCCCGGGGCUCAACCCCGGAACGGCAUCCGAGACGGCCAGGCUGGAGACCGGGAGAGGAGAGUGGAAUAGCCAGUGUAGAGGUGAAAUUCGUAGAUAUUAGGAAGAACACCAGUGGCGAAGGCGGCUCACUGGCUCGGUACUGACGCUGAGGCGCGAAAGCGUGGGGAGCAAACAGG